This 119-nucleotide ribosomal RNA is filed under the name Pteropus alecto (black flying fox). The record is from RNAcentral. Lineage: Eukaryota; Metazoa; Chordata; Mammalia; Chiroptera; Pteropodidae.
GUCUACGGCCAUGCCACCCUGAACAAGCCCUAUCCCAUCUGAUCCCUGAAGCUAAGCAGGGUCGGACCUGGUUAGUACUUGGAUGGGAGACCACCUAGGAAGACCAGGUGCUGUAGGCA